This 227-nucleotide ribosomal RNA is filed under the name uncultured bacterium. RNAcentral describes it as "partial 16S ribosomal RNA". It matches the Rfam family "Bacterial small subunit ribosomal RNA", at positions 15 to 225 of the family's 1533-position model. The record is from RNAcentral.
GAUCAUGGCUCAGGACGGACGCUGGCGGCGUGCUUAACACAUGCAAGUCGAACGAGAAUCUGUGGAUCGAGGAUUCGUCCAAGUGAAGCAGAGGACAGUGGCGGACGGGUGAGUAACGCGUGAGGAACCUGCCUUUCAGAGGGGGACAACAGUUGGAAACGACUGCUAAUACCGCAUGAUACAUUUGGGUGGCAUCAUCUGAAUGUCAAAGAUUUAUCGCUGAAAAG